This 1277-nucleotide long non-coding RNA is filed under the name Helianthus annuus (common sunflower). Its description in RNAcentral is "hypothetical non coding rna". Lineage: Eukaryota; Viridiplantae; Streptophyta; Magnoliopsida; Asterales; Asteraceae. The record is from RNAcentral.
CCUCUGGCUCCUUCUUCCCAUUCAACUAAUCUUUUCUCUCUCAUCCAAGCAUCUCAACAUCAUCUGGUAUCCAUUGCUCAAAUUUGAAAAAUUAGGAGCCACCAGUGUUCAUCGCCGCUACCACGGUUUACGAUUACGAGAAGUGGGCACCGCAAUACGACCACAAUCUGGGCUUUCCGAAUCAAAACAGGUCGUCUGCGAUGCUGCUAAGAUCCAUGGUGUUUCUGAUCUCCAAUUCAAUUCAUCCAAUGAAGGAAUUGAUGAUGAAGAAGAAUCGUUAAGCACUGAAAUAACAUGUGCAACCACGUUGGGAGGUGUUUUGUAAGCAUUAAGGAUUCAUACAAACGUCUUUCCAGUUCAUCACACUUCAUCACACUGAUGGUGAAUCUGAUGAUUUUAUUGUUGUAUUGAUGUUUCUAAUUAAAAUCUUUGUGGCACGAUACCCCGUGAUGGCCCUUUCACAAGCUUCCCAAUCUAAAGGUACCAAAUGCUACCCACCAUGUUUCUUUUUUGUCCUACAAACUCUUAAAUUUGAGUGUGGUGUCUACAAUUUUAUUCAAGUUAGAAGUACUGGAUCUUAAGGGCAUGGAAUGAGCUGAAAUUAUAACACCUGGCUCACCUAUUCCUGUACAUUUACCAAUUGAAUCUGCAGUUGAGGAAUACAUGGUUCGCAAAUCGCAAUGAUGAUACUACUUUGUGCAUUUUGAAGCUAUAAAGCCAGCAUGUCAAAUAAACAAAGCAAAAGAAGAGGGUUUGUUGAAAAAAAAAUGUGCAGCUAUGCUCAAGGGAAUGACUACCCAGUUCCUCCUCCUCCUCCGUUCCUUUGAGUCAUAUUGCAUUCUUGCUGAUUUAUUUUUGACUAAGUACUUAAUUUGAACAAGUAAAAAAUGGGCAUAUGGCCACGUGCGUGCGGCAACUGAUGGUGUUGGAUCGUGAUUGGGUCAAUGGGCAAAUGCACUGGUGAGUGCAUCCGUUUUUUUACUCACCCUUACCAUUGGAUUAGGCCAAUAUUAAAUCCUAAUUAUCUUAAUAUCAUAUAUUUAUUUUUGUUCGUGGGCUGUGGAGUAGGUAGAUCAGAGUACCAGACAUGUAUUUUCAACAUGUUUGAUUUUAUGUAGUGUUUGAAAAUUUUGGAGCCUAAUGUAACACCCCGUGUUUUCGAAUGUCAAAGUCAAAGUCAAAGUCCAAGUCAACUUAGACUUCAUUGACUGAUAAUAGUUCUUUUUGCUUUUUGUAUUAUGUGGAGUAAGUGUUGUCUAAAUGAAAUGAUCGAAUGU